Mustela putorius furo (domestic ferret) is the source of this 1792-nucleotide long non-coding RNA. NCBI's taxonomy places the organism in Eukaryota, Metazoa, Chordata, Mammalia, Carnivora, Mustelidae. The record is from Ensembl.
UCACAAUGGAUUAGGGUAGGGUCUAAAUCCAAGGAGAGUGUCCUCAUAAGACACAGCAACGAACACACAGAGGCACAGGGAAGAUGAUGGACAAACAUGCAGAAGCUGGAGUGACACAGCAACAGGACAAGGAACCCCAAGAUUUGCUGACAGCCACCAGAAGCUGGAAAAGGGCAUGGGACAGUGUCUCUCUCACAUACCCCAAAUCAACCCUGCCAACACCUUGAUUUCAGACUUCAGACCUCCAGAAUUAGGACAGAAUGAAUUUCUGUUGUUUUAAGCCACCCAGCUUGUGGUAAUUUGUUACAGCGGCCGUAGGAAAUAAAACACACAAUCUUGAACCACAAGCCAACAUCAUACUUAACUGUGAAACAUCAAAGCCAUUCCCUUUCAACUGAGCAACAAGACAGUAAUUCUUGAGGAGUACUAGCAACUGAAAGUGGGGACCUGCUGAAGAGAAGGGCCCUCUCCCUCUUGCACAGGACAACCUUGAUUCCAUCUACCCAGCACCUGCAGAGCCUGAGCUGAUGCUCUGCAAACCAGGAAACAAGGAGCCCUACUCCUGAAGUAGCCUAAGUCUCUCACUGGUUUGCUCCUAUAUUGGCUCCUGCAGGAGGCAAACAUAAGCUUGAGCUUCUGAACCCUGCUAUUCACACUUCUUGAAUCAUCCUGCAAGAAGUGCUUCAUUUCUCUAAGCUACAUGGCAAAGAUGAUAAUAUUUUUGCUACAGGAAAGAUCAAGAUGAAAGGAGCAUGGAUCAAAAAGACACUUGGCUCAAUAUCUGGCACACAUUCUUUGAAGUUGGAGCUCCUGAUGCUACUACCCGUCCUUCCUGCCCUUGGAGCAGAGAUUAACCAAUACUGGGGGACUUGGCGCUCAAUCACCAAAGUGACAUCUAUUGCUUCUGGCCGCUCCACAUUAAUCUCUUCACUUUUGGUAACUAAACACGUCUUUCCUGCAAGUAACCCAUUAUAUAGGGUCAAAGUGGAUGGAAUUGAGUCACGACCCUACCCCCCACCCCCACAAAAGACAGGAUUAAGCAAUUGACCCAGACUGCCAAUCAUUUUACUCCACUCUCUUAACAGAAGUAAGGGGCUUAUGGUGGUCCAAAAAUGAAACCUUGAUCAAUCCAAUGUUCCAGUCACGCAUUAAAAUAAGUUAUAUUUUAAAAUACAGCACAAAGUAACUGUUCUCCAGGUAUAAUUUCCCUCUCGUCUAUCUUCUUUACAAUGUAGUCAGAUCCCCUGAUAUAGACGCCCAUCCAACCUGACUUGGGGAUUUACUUGCUGCCCUCUAGAUUUAGUUCCUGGGCAAAACUCACCCUAAAUUUCCCCCAUCAUUUGUGCACAGCACUCCGGUCUGCUUGACCGAACUUUCUCAGGCCAAUUACAAGACCAUCCAAUCCCUUCCCAACAUCAACCCUGUCCUAGCCUCCUUCUUCUCCUCCCUGGAUCUCCCAAAAGGUCUUCGCAAGCCCACUGCUCUCACCCACAAUGAGACUGUUCGUACCAUAGAAUACUAAAUGCAGAAUCCACUCAGCACUCUGAGCAUCAUUUAUCUAGGAAAAACAGCAAAGACAGCCUUGAGGCAGAAUCUGUCAUUCAAACUGUAUUAAGGAAAUUCUACCUUUGUGGCCUCCCUGCAAAGAGCACAUGACCAGCCCCCUCCCCACAUGGUAAGCAAAACCCAAAGGCUUUAGGAGACAAGGGUAUUAUGUGUGGAAAAGUAAAAAUUGUUGAAAUUAGUCAUGAAAGAGCCAAACAUCUCCUGUUGUUGAAUGUGAGGCAUGUAU